RNAcentral lists this ribosomal RNA (253 nucleotides) under uncultured bacterium. RNAcentral's name for it is "partial 16S ribosomal RNA". It matches the Rfam family "Bacterial small subunit ribosomal RNA", at positions 524 to 776 of the family's 1533-position model. The record is from RNAcentral.
UACGGGGGGGGCAAGCGUUGUUCGGAAUUACUGGGCGUAAAGGGAGCGUAGGCGGAUAGUUCAGUCAGAGGUGAAAGCCCAGGGCUCAACCUUGGAAUUGCCUUUGAUACUGGCUGUCUUGAGUAUGGGAGAGGUUAGCGGAACUCCGAGUGUAGAGGUGAAAUUCGUAGAUAUUCGGAAGAACACCAGUGGCGAAGGCGGCUAACUGGCCCAUUACUGACGCUGAGGCUCGAAAGCGUGGGGAGCAAACAGG